CCCUUAGAUGUCCUGGGCCGCACGCGCGCUACACUGAUGCAUUCAACGAGUCUACCUUGGCCGAGAGGCCUGGGCAACCUUUUAAACGUGCAUCGUGAUAGGGAUAGAUUAUUGCAAUUAUUAAUCUUGAACGAGGAAUUCCUAGUAAACGCAAAUCAUCAACUUGCAUUGAUUACGUCCCUGCACUUUGUACACACCGCCCGUCGCACCUACCGAUUGAAUGGUCCGGUGAGGACUCGGGAUUUUUACCAGUUUCCUUCAUUGGGAAUUGGUGAGGAGAACUUGUCCAAACCUUAUCAUUUAGAGGAAGGUGAAGUCGUAACA
Molecule: ribosomal RNA, 324 nt
Filed under: uncultured eukaryote
Lineage: Eukaryota
Description: partial 18S ribosomal RNA
Rfam family: Eukaryotic small subunit ribosomal RNA
Source: RNAcentral